Molecule: long non-coding RNA, 3872 nt
Organism: Triticum aestivum (bread wheat)
Lineage: Eukaryota; Viridiplantae; Streptophyta; Magnoliopsida; Poales; Poaceae
Exons: 14
Source: RefSeq, a predicted model, not a curated record
UUCCUCCCGCACGCCUCCUCCUCUCUCCCUCCCUCCCGCAGCCGCCUCCCUCCCUCCCGCGCGCCUCCUCUCCUCCCCCCGCCUCCCGCAGCCACAUCGCCGCCGCCGCCACCCGCCUCCCCACUCGGGCGAACCCCUCUCCUCUUCCCCCGCCUCGCCUCUCUCCCUUCCCCCGUCCAAACCCUAGGCCCGCGCCCGCCAGCCGCCGCCGCCGCCGCUCGCCCAGGCCAUCCUCCCGCUGUGAAGGAAGCGGCCAGAGAGGAAGGGCGUCGCCGGGUGUGCAUGUGCCUCCGCGGAUUCGUGCCACGGUUGCCGGAGGCGUGGGCGCCGCGGGUCACCUCUCCAGAUCGGUGGAGGCCAAGGGCAAGGGCAAGGAGGAGGGGAGAAGAAGACCUUCGGCCAGCUGCGGGAAGCCGGCGCUGGCGUCCUCCGCGGCAUCCACCGGCGCCGGUGGCGGGCAGAAGCGCCAGUGCCACGACCACGCGCACUCCGAGAACGUCGCCGGCGGAAAGUACGGCCGGCUUCGUCUGCUCCAAGCGCAGGAAGUCCCGGGUUCGGCGGAUGACUCGCGUGCCGGCAAUCAGCUCGAAGGCGGCGGAUAUCCCCGCGGACGACUUCUCGUGGCGCAAGUACGGGCAGAAGCUGCCUGUGGAGAAUGCCCUGGACUCAGCAGUUGACGUAACUCGGUUGAGCUGCGGUGCACUAUAUUUAGCUGAUUUUAUUGGGAAGGGAAGAGGUAUGAAAUUCUCAACUUAGAGGGAGCAUACACAAGUGUAAGCAGACCCUUGAGCAAGAGAGCAACAUGACUGCUAGCUUCCCUAUAAGUUCAGCUGCAUUACAGGAGAUGGAUACGAAGUCCUCGGAGGAGGAAUACAAAGCUCUACAAGGUGAUGGAGCUGGAGAUGUGUAUUUCCAGUCUCUUGAAGAACGAAUCAUUAAUAUGAAGUGAGUUUCUGAACUAGGCGGGAUACCAUGGUCCAUGGGUGCAAGAUAACUCAUAUAUGGAUUACCACGGGUCCGGUGCGUUUAAAGUAUGUAUAUGCUUAUAUGCGUGGCUGCUGUUGGUACAACUUGACAACUCCAUAUAGAGAUUUUGCAGGGAUGUAUAUAUAUGGUCAUGUUUCACUGGGAUCCUCAACUGUUCCAGUUCGUAUUUAGCAGGAUCACAUGUUGACCAAUGACUCAAAUUAAUUUUCUCACUGAUCCAGUUAACUCAAGAACUUGUGACCCAGUUCUAGGACAACUGUGGACUAAGGGAUGGAGGUUGAUUUAUCAGCGGUUACAGGCAUGCAUGCUUUAUGGUGGCAAGCAUUAUAUAUCAUUGAAGACUUUCCAUUUGUUCAAGUUCCUGAUAUGCUAAUCGGUAACCUUUAGAUUUGUUUGGAGAGUUCUGUCCAUCCAAGCACCAUGCGUAUGUGGCCAGUGAGUUUGCAUUGUGUAGAAAAUUAUUGCUACUAAAAGAAAUGAAAUUGUUUUCUUCGUCCUUGUUUCAAACCAACUAAUAAACUAGAUGCUUGGAAGACUCUUUUCACUAUAUAGUUCAUGUAUGCACCUCUACUUGAUAAUCAUAAAUAGUUUGAUCACACCAUUCUUUCAAAAAAUAAACAAUCUACUAAAAACAACCAGCAGAUGAUGUAUCUGAAGGCAUUUCGUUUCAGGUGAUAUGUUCGUGACUUAAUUUUGUGGCCUACACAACUAAUGCAGAGGUUAUAUAAGUGUAGAGCAGUGAUUUAGGAUAUGAUGUUUUUUAAAUACCUUUCGCGAAUGUUUGUUUGAACUCCGUUCCGAGACCACAUACUUUAGGAAAUUUUUCUUAUGUUUCAACCAAAUAAGCUCUCAAAGGAUUAGCAAGCACAUGGACCAUUCCGAUUAAACUAUUUGUUCUAGGUCACAAUUGAAGUAUUGAUGUGUUCUGCCCAACGUUCAUUACACCGAGUCAUGUAUUAUUUUUUCUGAACAUACAUUAUAUUUUCUAGAAAUUUCUCCUCUGUUAGAGAAACAUAUAAAUUCUUCUGUCUUUUUAUUACAUGAUACAACCUAAGGAAAUUGGAACGACUGGUUUAUGUGGGAAACUGACGGGCUAAAGCUCAAAAGCUCACACCUGGAUGUUUUUUGUCACACCUUCAAAAUCGUGUAGAAGAAACGCUUACAAAAAGAAGAAAGAGACCUGGUUUGCCUUCCUUGCUGGCGUCCUUGUCAUCUCCAACCCGCCCACGGGGUGCUCAAGGGGUUCGGCCAAGUCGGAUGCCAGGCGGUGCGCGCAGCUGAGGAGCACUGGCAGCAGGCGCUUGAUGCGGCGCUCCCCGCGUCUCCGCUGCUCAUUCGCGGCUCCUCCUCCUCCCCAACGGAUCACGACUGAACCUUCCUUGUGCCAGCACCUCGUGGCCAUGAAGGGUGGCUGAGCCAUCAGGAGCGGCGGCGGGGCCUGCUGCGGAUGCUGCUGCGGCUCCCUCCUCUUCCUCGCCGGCUUCUACCUGCUUUGUGCCGACGCCAUGUACAUCGUGUCAUCCCGGUGCUUCUGCUUUCCCGGGUCGCAACUCUUUGGUGUGCUCGACAAGGCCAGGACACACAUUCUGGAGAGCUCCUUGGUCAGUCCAUCACGAGAACCGGCAGCUACCGGAUUCCUUUUGUGCUGCUGGAAAGGAGGCACAUUGUUCCCAUGCUCGUGCUCUAUGGGUAGAAGCUGCAAAUUCUGGAGGUAUCAGACGAGGGUAUUCGAAGAAGACACCAUGAAUGGCAGCAGACUCUACCGCUUCCAUUACAAUGGUAUUCGAAAAAGAUACCACCUUGUGGCCUUUCCUGUUUCCUGUGACUACGACUUCCAACUCUUUAACUGGGUUGGUGUCAAAAGAAAUUCUGUAACAGAGACACAAUAAAAUAAAUUGGUACAACUAUAUGGAUUCCUUGGUAAGCUCAUGAUUCAUCUGGCUAAGCAGUCUUAGUAGACCGCCAAUGUUGUGUUAUUAAGAUGCAGGUUUCAAUAACCUUCAUGUUUGCGGCUAAAAUAAUGUAGUUAUCUCGGUAGUCUAGGUAGAUUGAAAUAAUUGUUUAUCCUUGAAGCAAAUCAACUAAACAACUGCCAGUAGAUGAUGAGGUGCCUUCUGCAAACAAAAAAGCUAAGCUCCAAGCGAGUAUUUUUAGGCGACCUAUCUUUUUCGGUGAUUUGUUUAAUCCUUCCUCUGCUCAAUUGAUGUGAACCACAAACCUUGCUCUGCUAAAUUGAUGUGAACCACAAUCCUUGCUCUGCUCAAUUGAUCUUCCCAGCAAAUCAAUGAACAUGUGCCCAUAGGGACACAGUCAAAGGUGCGCUUGUCAACUUAAUGGUUUUCAUCCAUAGUGCUUUGCCAUUAUUUUUAUUUUUAUUGUUUUUCUCAUUUGCCACUGUUGCGCAUUCUUUCUAGGACCAGUAUAUACAUCAUGAUUUUCUUUGUAUGUAAUUGUUAUUUAUACUUGAAGCAAGGUAUCUGAAGACCUGAUGGGAAAUGAGGAGGUGCCCUUUGCAACUAAAAAGACUAAGUUGGAGACCAAGUGCCCUUAGGCAACGCGCCCUUUUGGAUCGUAGCGUAUUAGUUGCGGAUGUGCAGAAAAUGUUGAUUUAGCGGAUGGAUUGCCUUUUCCAUCUGGGAUCGCUUUUGUUGCGACCUGUCGCUUAUAAUAGAGUGAUUUGUUUUGCUGAUCCUGGCCAAGUGGAAUCUACUGUCUGUCAAUGUCCAAAUGCUGCAGUCAGUAGUUAGUGUGACAUGGAUCUUGACUAAUGUAUCCCAUCAGUUUAGCCGUGUGUUGCUAGCUGAUGUGAAAGUAUGUGUGAUUACCAUACUUAUUAUGAUUAUGGAUGUUGCUACAUGUUUCAUUAGCUAAAUUUUACCUAUGCA